RNAcentral lists this transfer RNA (68 nucleotides) under Bos taurus (domestic cattle). It matches the Rfam family "tRNA". From Rfam's summary of the family: Transfer RNA (tRNA) molecules are approximately 80 nucleotides in length. Lineage: Eukaryota; Metazoa; Chordata; Mammalia; Artiodactyla; Bovidae. The record is from Rfam by way of RNAcentral. RNAcentral also lists the same sequence under 4 other names.
CCUGGUGGCUGAGACGGUAAAGCGUCUGCCUACAAUGCGGGAGACCAGGUUCAAUUCCUGCAUCAGGA